This 1498-nucleotide long non-coding RNA is filed under the name Anser brachyrhynchus (Pink-footed goose). Its description in RNAcentral is "lncRNA (ENSABRG00000015917.1)". Lineage: Eukaryota; Metazoa; Chordata; Aves; Anseriformes; Anatidae. The record is from RNAcentral.
UUUUGAUUCUUUUGGCUGCCUGUAGCCACUCAAGCAAGCCUUGUAGGAAGAAAAGUCAACUUCAAGUUGUCCAGUUACUAGAAGCAGGUUCCUACCUGAGCACUCCAGGAUGCUGGAGAUCAGACAAAUUCAGUCUAUAAAUGCAAUUCAAUUCUUCAGAGCCGUAACAGACCUGUACCUGCAACUUCACAUGUGCUGCUGACCAAUGGUAGCAUAAGGCCCUUUCCCCACGGAGCUAAUGGAUAACCCCAUGGACCAGGAGCUGCGGGCUAGAGCGAGACCUCCAAGUUGUGACACGCUGCUAACUUGUGGCAUGUGGGACACUACAGAGCAGCAGAGAAGGCCAGACAACUGGAGUUAUGCACACCUAGCAGGAAGACAGUCAAGAAUACUGCAGGUGUCUGCAAGCUACAUAUGGCAUUUUUGGUGGCUGCCCUUGGAUCUCAUGCAAGCCCAGGAGGUUUAUCAGCUGGAAGUGAAAGAGAAGUGUUUUGCUGAAUCUCACAAUGACUGACAACUGCUGGAGCUCUGCAACAGCAGGGAAGGGAAAUAUUCUCUGAGAUGUUCCCCUGGAUGUUGCAUCAGGGGAAGCAUAUCCAGGAAACAUGUGGGAUUCCUGACUACUUUUGUACAAGGCACUGGGGAGAUCCUCAUGAAGUUCAACAAGGAGAAGUGCAGAGCGCUGCACCUGGGGAGGAACAACCCCAGGCACCAGUACAUGCUGAGAGCCACCCAGCUGGAAAGUAGCUUGACAGAAAAGGACCUGGAGGUCUUGGUGGACACGGAGUUGAACGCAAGCCAGCAAUGUGCCCUUGCUGCCAAAAAAAAAAUAUAAAAAAAUGCUGAUAGUAUCCAGACUGCAUUAAGCAAAGCAUUGCUAGCAGGCCGAGGGAGGUGAUCCUUAUUCUCUGCUCAGCACUGGUGAGGCCACAGCUGGAGCAUUGCAUCCAGUUGUGUGCCUCCCAGCACAAGAGAGACGUGGUGCUACUGGAGAGUCCAACAAAGGAGUCAGGGACUGGAGCACCUCUCCUAUGUGGGCAGGCUGAGAUAGGUAGGACUGUUCAGCCUAGAGAAAAGAAGGCUUUGGGGGGAUCUUAACAAAAUAUAUGUAUAUCUACCUGAAGGAAGGGUGCAAAGAGGAUGCAGGCAGGUUCUUUUCAGUGGUGCCCAGUGCCAGGACAAGAGUCCAGGGGCACAAAGCGGAGCACAGGAGGUGCCCUCAGCACCAGGCAGCCCUUCUGUGUGCUGUGCGGUGAUGGAAGCACUGGCACAGGCUGCCCAGAGGCUGUGGAGCCUCCUUCUUGGAGAUGUUCAACAUCCAACUGGACACGGCCCUAGGCAGCCUGUUCUGGGUGUCCCUGCGUCAGCCUCCAGAUGUCCCUGCCAGCCUCACCCUGUCUGCAAUGCUGUGAAAUCCUGAAAGAGGCAGCAUCCAGGAAAAGUGUUACUGAAUUGAGAUAGGGAACAGGAAAUAAAGGACUGUGUAUUUAGUUUAGCA